Molecule: long non-coding RNA, 710 nt
Organism: Oncorhynchus tshawytscha (Chinook salmon)
Lineage: Eukaryota; Metazoa; Chordata; Actinopteri; Salmoniformes; Salmonidae
Exons: 3
Source: RefSeq, a predicted model, not a curated record
CGUUGUAAUGGAGGGACCGAGGCACAGCGUGUGUUGAGUUCCACAUAUUUAUUUAAAGUGGAACUACUUCACAAAACAAUAACCAAGCAACAAAACGUGACUACGUGGUGCAACACACACAGACACAAAACAACAAUGGAGAACUGAAGCAUGAUCCCCAAUUAGAGACAACGAUAAUCAGCUGCCUCUAAUUGGGAACCAUACCAAGCACACCAACAUAGAAAUAGGAAAACUAGAACACCCCCCUAGUCAUGCCUUGAUCUACAACACCAUAGAGAACCAAGGGCUCUCUGCGGUCAGGGCGUGACAGCAACAUUUUAAAACUGUUGGCUGUGGAGUAAACUAAUGAAUACAACCCAGGUUGUAGCCUACGACUCGGCAUGUUGAUACCUGCCUGAUGCUGAAACCUGAACGUAGCCUGAGGGGUAAACUAUGAUACUAGCUAGAUAUACUGGUUUUCUAAAGUUAGCCAGCUUCAGUUAGCUUCACAUUCCAGCUCAGGCCUCAUCCAUCAGAAUAUACAGAACAGAACAGAAAAUAUCUCAAUGACUUGACAUGUUCUGGUUGUGAAUUCAGGCUACAAGGCUGGUUGAAUGAGUUGUCUAUGAAAGCUACUUCAUCUGUAAGAAAACAGGCGGCUGCACCAGUGACUGGGUCAGUUCUCUAAAAUGAGUCUCUCUGGGGAGAGAGAGGAGGGGGGCCCUGCCUCU